RNAcentral lists this ribosomal RNA (448 nucleotides) under uncultured bacterium. Its description in RNAcentral is "bacterial SSU rRNA". It matches the Rfam family "Bacterial small subunit ribosomal RNA", at positions 29 to 523 of the family's 1533-position model. The record is from RNAcentral.
AACGAACGCUGGCGGCAUGCCUAACACAUGCAAGUCGAACGAGACCUUCGGGUCUAGUGGCGCACGGGUGCGUAACGCGUGGGAAUCUGCCCUUGGGUUCGGAAUAACAGCGAGAAAUUGCUGCUAAUACCGGAUGAUGACGUAAGUCCAAAGAUUUAUCGCCCAAGGAUGAGCCCGCGUAGGAUUAGCUAGUUGGUGGGUAAAGGCUCACCAAGGCGACGAUCCUUAGCUGGUCUGAGAGGAUGAUCAGCCACACUGGGACUGAGACACGGCCCAAACUCCUACGGGAGGCAGCAGUGGGGAAUCUUGCGCAAUGGGCGAAAGCCUGACGCAGCCAUGCCGCGUGAAUGAUGAAGGUCUUAGGAUUGUAAAAUUCUUUCACCGGGGACGAUAAUGACGGUACCCGGAGAAGAAGCCCCGGCUAACUUCGUGCCAGCAGCCGCGGUAU